CGGCGGACGGGUGAGUAACGCGUGGGUAACCUGCCCUGUACACACGGAUAACAUACCGAAAGGUAUGCUAAUACGGGAUAACAUAAGAAAUUCGCAUGUUUUUCUUAUCAAAGCUCCGGCGGUACAGGAUGGACCCGCGUCUGAUUAGCUAGUUGGUGAGGUAAUGGCUCACCAAGGCGACGAUCAGUAGCCGACCUGAGAGGGUGAUCGGCCACAUUGGAACUGAGACACGGUCCAA
This 238-nucleotide ribosomal RNA is filed under the name uncultured bacterium. RNAcentral's name for it is "partial 16S ribosomal RNA". It matches the Rfam family "Bacterial small subunit ribosomal RNA", at positions 96 to 334 of the family's 1533-position model. The record is from RNAcentral.